GUAGGGAAUAUUAGAAAUGGGCGAAAGUCUGAUCUAGCAACACCGCGUGUGCGAAGAAGGCCUUCGGGUCGUAAAGCACUUUUUGGAAGGAAUAGGAAGGAAUGUACUUCCAGAAUAAGUCUCGGCUAACUACGUGCCAGCAGCCGCGGUAACACGUAGGAGGCGAACGUUAUCCGGAUUUACUGGGCGUAAAGCGCGUGUAAGUGGUACUGUAAGUAGGGCGUGAAAGCUCCUGGCUCAACUGGGAGAGGCCGUUCUAAACUACAGAACUAGAGGAUGGUAGAGGGAGGUGGAAUUCCAGGUGUAGCGGUGGAAUGCGCAGAUAUCUGGAGGAACACCGGUGGCGAAGGCGGCCUCCUGGACCAUUCCUGACACUCAGACGCGAAAGCUAGGGUAGCAAACGG
This 404-nucleotide ribosomal RNA is filed under the name uncultured bacterium. RNAcentral describes it as "bacterial SSU rRNA". It matches the Rfam family "Bacterial small subunit ribosomal RNA", at positions 354 to 775 of the family's 1533-position model. The record is from RNAcentral.